Small nucleolar RNA from Sorex araneus (European shrew), 71 nucleotides. Ensembl annotates it as small nucleolar RNA, C/D box 49A. Lineage: Eukaryota; Metazoa; Chordata; Mammalia; Eulipotyphla; Soricidae. The record is from Ensembl.
UGCUCUGAUGACACGGCUAAUAGGAAGUGCCGUCAGAAUCGAUAACUGACGACGAGAAGCCUGGGCUGACU